This 497-nucleotide ribosomal RNA is filed under the name uncultured bacterium. RNAcentral describes it as "partial 16S ribosomal RNA". It matches the Rfam family "Bacterial small subunit ribosomal RNA", at positions 28 to 507 of the family's 1533-position model. The record is from RNAcentral.
GAUGAACGCUGGCGGCGUGCCUAAUACAUGCAAGUCGAGCGAACGGACGAGAAGCUUGCUUCUCUGAUGUUAGCGGCGGACGGGUGAGUAACACGUGGAUAACCUACCUAUAAGACUGGGAUAACUUCGGGAAACCGUAGCUAAUACCGGAUAAUAUUUUGAACCGCAUGGUUCAAAAGUGAAAGACGGUCUUGCGGUCACUUAUAGAUGGAUCCGCGCUGCAUUAGCUAGUUGGUAAGGUAACGGCUUACCAAGGCAACGAUGCAUAGCCGACCUGAGAGGGUGAUCGGCCACACUGGAACUUAGACACGGUCCAGACUCCUACGGGAGGCAGCAGUAGGGAAUCUUCCGCAAUGGUCGAAAGCCUGACGGAGCAACGCCGCGUGAGUGAUGAAGGUCUUCGGAUCGUAAAACUCUGUUAUUAGGGAAGAACAUAUGUGUAAGUAACUGUGCACAUCUUGACGGUACCUAAUCAGAAAGCCACGGCUAACUACGUG